Molecule: ribosomal RNA, 206 nt
Filed under: uncultured diatom
Lineage: Eukaryota; Bacillariophyta
Description: partial 16S ribosomal RNA
Rfam family: Bacterial small subunit ribosomal RNA
Source: RNAcentral
CGCAGCAGUGGGGAAUUUUCCGCAAUGGGCGAAAGCCUGACGGAGCAAUACUGCGUGAGGGAAGACUGCCUAUGGGUUGUAAACCWCUUUUWUCMGSGAGGAAUAAAUGACGUGUACCUGAMGAAUAAGCAUCGGCUAACUCCGUGCCAGCAGCCGCGGUAAGACGGAGGAUGCAAGUGUUANCCVSMMUCACUGGGCGUAAAGCG